UUAUUGGAUCCAGACUUUGAUUAUGGCUCAGGAUGAACGCUGGCUACAGGCUUAACACAUGCAAGUCGAGGGGAAACGAUAUUGGAAGCUUGCUUCCGAUAGGCGUCGACCGGCGCACGGGUGAGUAACGCGUAUCCAACCUGCCCAUCACUUGGGGAUAACCUUGCGAAAGUAAGACUAAUACCCAAUGAUAUCUCUAGAAGACAUCUGAAUGAGAUUAAAGAUUCAUCGGUGAUGGAUGGGAAUGCGUCUGAUUAGCUUGUUGGCGGGGUAACGGCCCACCAAGGCGACGAUCAGUAGGGGUUCUGAGAGGAAGGUCCCCCACAUUGGAACUGAGACACGGUCCAAACUCCUACGGGAGGCAGCAGUGAGGAAUAUUGGUCAAUGGACGAGAGUCUGAACCAGCCAAGUAGCGUGCAGGAUGACGGCCCUAUGGGUUGUAAACUGCUUUUAUAAGGGAAUAAAGUGGGAGUCGUGACUCCUUUUGCAUGUACCUUAUGAAUAAGGACCGGCUAAUUCCGUGCCAGCAGCCGCGGUAAUACGGAAGGUCCGGGCGUUAUCCGGAUUUAUUGGGUUUAAAGGGAGCGUAGGCCGGAGAUUAAGCGUGUUGUGAAAUGUAGAUGCUCAACAUCUGCACUGCAGCGCGAACUGGUUUCCUUGAGUACGCACAAAGUGGGCGGAAUUCGUGGUGUAGCGGUGAAAUGCUUAGAUAUCACGAAGAACUCCGAUUGCGAAGGCAGCUCACUGGAGCGCAACUGACGCUGAAGCUCGAAAGUGCGGGUAUCGAACAGGAUUAGAUACCCUGGUAGUCCGCACGGUAAACGAUGGAUGCCCGCUGUUGGUCUGAAUAGGUCAGCGGCCAAGCGAAAGCAUUAAGCAUCCCACCUGGGGAGUACGCCGGCAACGGUGCAACUCAAAGGAAUUGACGGA
This 930-nucleotide ribosomal RNA is filed under the name uncultured organism. RNAcentral describes it as "bacterial SSU rRNA". It matches the Rfam family "Bacterial small subunit ribosomal RNA", at positions 1 to 917 of the family's 1533-position model. The record is from RNAcentral.